GCCCCGCCCCACAACACCGCCCCACCCCGGCCGCGACUACGACCCUGCCCCGUGACGCCGGCCUCCACGACCCGCGACGGCUGGUCUCCAAGGCCCCGGCCCCUCGCCGUCCUCCCGCGGCUGCCCCGCAUCAGAUCCGCGCAUCACCGUCCCGGGUCACCGGCCACUCUUCCCUCUCCUCCCCGUUCCUCCACCUCCUCCCUUCCGUCCCUGGCCACUACAGUGCGUCCCGGGUCGACAGCCACCGUGUUGCCGUUCGCCUGCCUGGCCUCUCUCUGGCUCUCCACCGUCAAUGGGUGGGCGACAAAAAAUUGCAGGCGCGCAGGCUGCAUCUGACGACUGUCAAUGGUCACAUGUGGGACGAGCCCAACCGUGCAGUAUGCCAGAGCAGGUUGUGUAGUACUUUUUGGAAAUUUCUGUAGUUUAUUUGUUGUAGAUGCGCGAUUCACUUGUUCAGCCACCUGUUUCUUGCUGUUCACUUGUCAGGAUAGAGAAGUACGAUGGUGUGAACUACUUCGAUGGGAGCAGCAGGGGAGUCGAGGUGGUGUUUCUGCCUCUGGAUGUCGUAGUCGUGCGGUGCGGCUAUGCCCCAUUGCGGCUUGGUAUUUUCCCUUUCUUGCUGAUAGGUGCCUCGGUGCAGUUGGCUUGAUCGAAGAUGAGGUUCGACUAGUUUGUGUAUGCUGGUCAAGGUGUCUUGUACAUGCAGCUCACGACGUGAUGUUGGUUCAGUUCAUUGGCAAGCGAUUCUAUAUCGCGGGCGUGCAGCUCACCAUCGUUAGCCUGGCAGGGUCAACGCAACUGGACCCAGGACAUACGGCUUUGAUUUAGUUUUCAUUUUGUUUUGAGUGGGUUUUAUGUAAAUUUAUAGGGCUGUGUUUGGUAAGUUUUAAAAACUACUAUUUGAUAACAAACUUGGUGGUUCACUCCAGUGUUCUCCUUUGCUGCCUGGGAAAAAAGAACUUUGGUUUCAAGGUACACAUGGUGGCAGAGAACUUUGGUUUGCAGCUCACUUCGGUUUCCCC
RNAcentral lists this ribosomal RNA (1022 nucleotides) under Triticum aestivum (bread wheat). RNAcentral describes it as "partial small subunit ribosomal RNA". Lineage: Eukaryota; Viridiplantae; Streptophyta; Magnoliopsida; Poales; Poaceae. The record is from RNAcentral.